UUUCCGUAGGUGUACCUGCGGAAGGAUCAUUAUUGUAUAACCGAGGUGCGAGGGCUGUCGCUGACCCGACAGGUCGUGCACGCCCGAGUGCCCUCACACACAUCCAUCUCACCCCUAUGUGCACCACCGCGUGGGUCCCCCUUUGGCUUGUUCGGAGGGGGGCUUACGUUUUCACACAAACUUUGUAUGCAGUGUAGAAUGUAUUUUUUGUUUUUGCGAUCACGCAAUCAAUACAACUUUCAACAACGGAUCUCUUGGCUCUC
Molecule: unclassified non-coding RNA, 263 nt
Filed under: plant metagenome
Description: partial contains small subunit ribosomal RNA, internal transcribed spacer 1, and 5.8S ribosomal RNA
Source: RNAcentral